RNAcentral lists this small nuclear RNA (173 nucleotides) under Monodelphis domestica (gray short-tailed opossum). RNAcentral describes it as "U1 spliceosomal RNA (ENSMODG00000026842.1)". It matches the Rfam family "U1 spliceosomal RNA". Rfam says of the family: U1 is a small nuclear RNA (snRNA) component of the spliceosome (involved in pre-mRNA splicing). Its 5' end forms complementary base pairs with the 5' splice junction, thus defining the 5' donor site of an intron. There are significant differences in sequence and secondary structure between metazoan and yeast U1 snRNAs, the latter being much longer (568 nucleotides as compared to 164 nucleotides in human). The record is from RNAcentral. Lineage: Eukaryota; Metazoa; Chordata; Mammalia; Didelphimorphia; Didelphidae.
AUACUUAACUCUCAGAGAAAACUGCAGGAUCAGGAAGGAAAUUUUCCAGGGAGAAGUCUAUUCAUUACAUUGUUGUUAAUUCUGAUUGCUCAGAUUUACCUAAAUGGGAGAAACUCAAUUGCACAAUUUGUAGUAUUGGGAGGUAACCUAACAUAAGAAAAGAUUGCCUCCCU